AGGACGAACGCUGGCGGCGUGCUUAACACAUGCAAGUCGAGCGAAAAGGCCCUUCGGGGUACUCGAGCGGCGAACGGGUGAGUAACACGUGAGCAACCUGCCCUUAGCUCUGGGAUAGCUCCGGGAAACCGGAAUUAAUACCGGAUAUGACCUAGGCCGACAUCGGCCGUGGUGGAAAGUUUUUCGGCUAGGGAUGGACUCGCGGCCUAUCAGCUAGUUGGUGGGGUAAUGGCCUACCAAGGCGACGACGGGUAGCCGGCCUGAGAGGGCGACCGGCCACACUGGGACUGAGACACGGCCCAGACUCCUACGGGAGGCAGCAGUGGGGAAUCUUGCGCAAUGGGCGAAAGCCUGACGCAGCGACGCCGCGUGGGGGAUGAAGGCCUUCGGGUUGUAAACCCCUUUCAGCAGGGACGAAGCGAAAGUGACGGUACCUGCAGAAGAAGCGCCGGCUAACUACGCGCCAGCAGCCGC
Molecule: ribosomal RNA, 474 nt
Filed under: uncultured bacterium
Lineage: Bacteria
Description: SSU rRNA
Rfam family: Bacterial small subunit ribosomal RNA
Source: RNAcentral